RNAcentral lists this ribosomal RNA (2903 nucleotides) under Proteus mirabilis. RNAcentral's name for it is "23S ribosomal RNA". It matches the Rfam family "Bacterial large subunit ribosomal RNA". Lineage: Bacteria; Pseudomonadati; Pseudomonadota; Gammaproteobacteria; Enterobacterales; Morganellaceae. The record is from RNAcentral.
GGUUAAGCGAAUAAGCGUACACGGUGGAUGCCUAGGCAAUCAGAGGCGAUGAAGGACGUGCUAAUCUGCGAAAAGCGUCGGUAAGGUGAUAUGAACCGUUAUACCCGACGAUAUCCGAAUGGGGAAACCCAGUAUCCAAUGGAUACUAUCAUUAACUGAAUCCAUAGGUUAAUGAGGCGAACCGGGAGAACUGAAACAUCUCAGUACCCCGAGGAAAAGAAAUCAACCGAGAUUCCCCUAGUAGCGGCGAGCGAACGGGGAGCAGCCCAGAGUCUUAAUCAAUAGCAGUGUCAGGAGAACGGUCUGGAAAGUCCGGCAGUAAAGGGUGAUAGCCCCGUAUCUGAAGAUGCUGUUAUUGUGAACUCGACGAGUAGGGCGGGACACGUGUUAUCCUGUCUGAAUAUGGGGGGACCAUCCUCCAAGGCUAAAUACUCCUGAUUGACCGAUAGUGAACCAGUACCGUGAGGGAAAGGCGAAAAGAACCCCGGCGAGGGGAGUGAAAAAGAACCUGAAACCGUGUACGUACAAGCAGUAGGAGCCUCUUUAUGGGGUGACUGCGUACCUUUUGUAUAAUGGGUCAGCGACUUAUAUUCUGUAGCAAGGUUAACCGCAUAGGGGAGCCGUAGGGAAACCGAGUCUUAACUGGGCGAAUGAGUUGCAGGGUAUAGACCCGAAACCCGGUGAUCUAUCCAUGGGCAGGUUGAAGGUUGGGUAACACUAACUGGAGGACCGAACCGACUAAUGUUGAAAAAUUAGCGGAUGACUUGUGGAUGGGGGUGAAAGGCCAAUCAAACCGGGAGAUAGCUGGUUCUCCCCGAAAGCUAUUUAGGUAGCGCCUCGUGAACUCAUCUUCGGGGGUAGAGCACUGUUUCGACUAGGGGGUCAUCCCGACUUACCAACUCGAUGCAAACUGCGAAUACCGAAGAAUGUUAUCACGGGAGACACACGGCGGGUGCUAACGUCCGUCGUGAAGAGGGAAACAACCCAGACCGCCAGCUAAGGUCCCAAAGUCAUGGUUAAGUGGGAAACGAAGUGGGAAGGCUCAGACAGCCAGGAUGUUGGCUUAGAAGCAGCCAUCAUUUAAAGAAAGCGUAAUAGCUCACUGGUCGAGUCGGCCCGCGCGGAAGAUGUAACGGGGCUAAACCAUGCACCGAAGCUGCGGCAGCGACACAAAGUGUUGUUGGGUAGGGGAGCGUUCUGUAAGCCUGCGAAGGUGUACUGUGAGGUAUGCUGGAGGUAUCAGAAGUGCGAAUGCUGACAUAAGUAACGAUAAUGCGGGUGAAAAACCCGCACGCCGGAAGACCAAGGGUUCCUGUCCAACGUUAAUCGGGGCAGGGUGAGUCGACCCCUAAGGCGAGGCUGAAAAGCGUAGUCGAUGGGAAACGGGUUAAUAUUCCCGUACUGGUGGUAACUGCGAUGGGGGAACGGAGAAGGCUAGGUUGUCCGGGCGACGGUCGUCCCGGUUCAAGCAGGUAGGCAGAGUGAUUAGGCAAAUCCGGUCACUUAAUGCUGAGAUGUGAUGACGAACCACCAAGGUGGUGAAGCAAUUGAUGCCCCGCUUCCAGGAAAAGCCUCUAAGCUUCAGGUUACCAACAAUCGUACCCCAAACCGACACAGGUGGUCAGGUAGAGAAUACUCAGGCGCUUGAGAGAACUCGGGUGAAGGAACUAGGCAAAAUGGUGCCGUAACUUCGGGAGAAGGCACGCUGGCGGUAGGUAAAGUCCCUCGCGGACGGCGCUGAAGCCAGUCGAAGAUACCAGCUGGCUGCAACUGUUUAUUAAAAACACAGCACUGUGCAAACACGAAAGUGGACGUAUACGGUGUGACGCCUGCCCGGUGCUGGAAGGUUAAUUGAUGGGGUCAGCCGUAAGGCGAAGCUCCUGAUCGAAGCCCCAGUAAACGGCGGCCGUAACUAUAACGGUCCUAAGGUAGCGAAAUUCCUUGUCGGGUAAGUUCCGACCUGCACGAAUGGCGUAAUGAUGGCCAGGCUGUCUCCACCCGAGACUCAGUGAAAUUGAACUCGCUGUGAAGAUGCAGUGUACCCGCGGCAAGACGGAAAGACCCCGUGAACCUUUACUAUAGCUUGACACUGAACAUUGAGCCUUGAUGUGUAGGAUAGGUGGGAGGCUUUGAAGUGUGGACGCCAGUCUGCAUGGAGCCAACCUUGAAAUACCACCCUUUAACGUUUGAUGUUCUAACCUAGGCCCAUAAACUGGGUCGGGGACCGUGUCUGGUGGGUAGUUUGACUGGGGCGGUCUCCUCCUAAAGAGUAACGGAGGAGCACGAAGGUUGGCUAAGCAUGGUCGGACAUCAUGCGGUUAGUGCAAAGGCAUAAGCCAGCUUGACUGCGAGAGUGACGGCUCGAGCAGGUACGAAAGUAGGUCUUAGUGAUCCGGUGGUUCUGAAUGGAAGGGCCAUCGCUCAACGGAUAAAAGGUACUCCGGGGAUAACAGGCUGAUACCGCCCAAGAGUUCAUAUCGACGGCGGUGUUUGGCACCUCGAUGUCGGCUCAUCACAUCCUGGGGCUGAAGUAGGUCCCAAGGGUAUGGCUGUUCGCCAUUUAAAGUGGUACGCGAGCUGGGUUUAGAACGUCGUGAGACAGUUCGGUCCCUAUCUGCCGUGGGCGUUGGAAGAUUGAGAGGGGUUGCUCCUAGUACGAGAGGACCGGAGUGAACGCACCACUGGUGUUCGGGUUGUCAUGCCAAUGGCAUUGCCCGGUAGCUAAGUGCGGAAGAGAUAACCGCUGAAAGCAUCUAAGCGGGAAACUUGCCUCGAGAUGAGUCUUCCCUGUCGCUUUAAGUGACCUAAAGGAACGUUUAAGACUAAGACGUUGAUAGGCUGGGUGUGUAAGCGUAGCGAUACGUUGAGCUAACCAGUACUAAUGAACCGUGAGGCUUAACCUG